This 468-nucleotide ribosomal RNA is filed under the name uncultured bacterium. Its description in RNAcentral is "partial 16S ribosomal RNA". It matches the Rfam family "Bacterial small subunit ribosomal RNA", at positions 28 to 507 of the family's 1533-position model. The record is from RNAcentral.
GACGAACGCUGGCGGCGUGCUUAGCACAUGCAAGUCGAACGGAAAGGCCCUGCUUUUGUGGGGUGCUCGAGUGGCGAACGGGUGAGUAACACGUGAGUAACCUGCCCUUGACUUUGGGAUAACUUCAGGAAACUGGGGCUAAUACCGGAUAGGAGCUCCUGCUGCAUGGUGGGGGUUGGAAAGUUUCGGCGGUUGGGGAUGGACUCGCGGCUUAUCAGCUUGUUGGUGGGGUAGUGGCUUACCAAGGCUUUGACGGGUAGCCGGCCUGAGAGGGUGACCGGCCACAUUGGGACUGAGAUACGGCCCAGACUCCUACGGGAGGCAGCAGUGGGGAAUAUUGCACAAUGGGCGGAAGCCUGAUGCAGCAACGCCGCGCGCGGGAUGACGGCCUUCGGGUUGUAAACCGCUUUCGCCUGUGACGAAGCGUGAGUGACGGUAAUGGGUAAAGAAGCACCGGCUAACUACGUG